This is a long non-coding RNA of Cyprinus carpio (common carp), 1918 nucleotides long. RefSeq lists it as uncharacterized. The record is from RefSeq and is a predicted model, not a curated record. Lineage: Eukaryota; Metazoa; Chordata; Actinopteri; Cypriniformes; Cyprinidae. The transcript has 8 exons.
CUUCCGCCUACAUCGCAUUUGACCUUUCCGAUAUCUCCUAAGAAAGACGUGCAUCGCAGAGAUAAUUUUAGCUGAGCAUUUGUGGUUAAAAAGUGUUUAAAUAUUCUUUCUUUUUUUUUUUUUAUAGAAAUUUACUGAUUGUUUUGUUAGAUAAGAUCCUUAUCAACUGGGGUAAUUUAGAUCCCUUUGAAGCUGUAUUAAAACUGCAAUUUUAACCUUCAAAGAGGUGGUCACCAUUGAAAUCCAUUACAUGGAGAAAAAUCCUGGAAUGUUAACCUCAAAAAACCUAAUUUAUUUUCGACUGAAGAAAGAAAGACAUAAGCAUCUUGGAUGACAUGAGGGUGAGUAAAUUAUCAGAAAACUUUUAUUCUGCAAGUGAAUGUCCUUUACGAGCAAUAGCAAGGUUGGUAUUUUAGCAAAUAAUAUUUUUGUUUAGGUUUGUUUAGGUUUGUAGAGAAAAAGAACCACCCGACUCAAAAGUGGAGUCUGGUGUAACUAGUAACAAGUGGACAGAAUGUUAUGACUUGCCUGUAUAUAACAGAUUGCCAGCUAAAGUUAAUGGUGAGAGUGGAAUAUAGAUAGUACGCUAUAAAAGGAACUGGGGACACUGAGCUAAAUACUUUUGUAUAUACUUGUGUAUAUGUUUUUUUUUUUUUUUUUUUUUUUUUUUUUUUUUGCAGUAUCUCACUUAUCAAGGGUUUGGAGCCAAAGGGGUUUCAAGUGCAGAUCACUUAUGCCCCUUUGGCUCCAAACCCUCAGUAUCCUUUUCUUUCAGAGAUACGCAGUGAUUAAAUUCCCCCAAGACAACACAGUUGACGUAGUUCCUUCCAACUGGCUUGAAAAAACAACAGAGGUAUUUUCAAUUACUAAUAUAUCUGAAAAACUUAAAGGUAUAGUUCACCCAAAAAUGAAAAUCCUGUCAUCAUUUACUUACCCUCAAGUUGUUCCAAACCUUUAUAAAUUUGUUUGACUGAACACAAAGGAAGCACAAUUGUUUAGCAUGAUAUUUAAAAAAAAAAAAAAAAAAAAUUAUGGAGAUAAAUGCUGCUGUUUGUGUUACCAACCUUUACUAAACCCAUCUUUUUUUCAGUUAAUGUCUAUUAUGGAGGGUUGACAUGAAUAUCUGGUGUUAACAGAGAAUAUAUUGCUACUGGCCAAGAAAAAUUUUUACUGCUAAAGCAAAAAGGAGAGACAAUCCAGAUACUACCCUCUGGUCAAAACAUGUUUCAGUGGUUCUGGUGUAUGCAGAUAGCUAUGAGGAAGCCAGACUGAAGGCCAACCAGGCUACAGUGACAUCAAACCUGGAAAGCGAAGAGGAGCCAACACGGAGACCAGUAAGACCUCCAGCGUGAUAUAAGAGACAGCUGGAUAGUGGUGAUGACGAAGACUCACCGCCACCAAAGACACGCAUUGUCAGCACACCAAAAUUUACCCCAAGAACAGAAUAUUUUGAAGAACAAAGACAGUUAAAUACUCCAAGCUGUGGCACCACUCAACAAGGUUUUCUAAGUGCCCAAGAACCAGCACCCACAGUGUCUAACUGGGAAACGCAACAUGAAGACAACACCGAGUUGAAGAAACUAGAAAGAGCCAUCUUCAUUCGACUUGACAAAAUGGACCAAAAGCUGUCAACGAUAGAAACACUUAAGAAGUAUUGCCCAGCCAACCGACAUUUCUGAGUUUUUUCUUAAUCCUUGUAAGAGCACACAGGAACUGGAGGAGUUGUGCUUGAGGAUGAAAGACAGUGAAUGCAAGAAAAAAACUGUCCAUUACUUGAGCCUCCUUGGAGGCAGAACCCCUGGAGAUGCCAUCCGCAGGGUAUUGCGGACAGUCGGAGUAAACAGCGUUUGGUCGCAGUAUAGCAUGAAGGGAAGGAAGGGGAAAAAAACGUUUAAAGACCUUGCCAUUUGCAGUGUGA